RNAcentral lists this transfer RNA (77 nucleotides) under Actinobacteria bacterium HGW-Actinobacteria-4. Its description in RNAcentral is "tRNA-Arg". It matches the Rfam family "tRNA". From Rfam's summary of the family: Transfer RNA (tRNA) molecules are approximately 80 nucleotides in length. Lineage: Bacteria; Bacillati; Actinomycetota. The record is from RNAcentral.
GCCCUCGUAGCUCAGCUGGAUAGAGCGUCGGACUUCUAAUCCGUAGGUCGCAGGUUCGAGUCCUGCCGGGGGCACCU